RNAcentral lists this long non-coding RNA (328 nucleotides) under Phoenix dactylifera (date palm). RNAcentral's name for it is "long non-coding RNA (PDAC_LNC013701)". The record is from RNAcentral. Lineage: Eukaryota; Viridiplantae; Streptophyta; Magnoliopsida; Arecales; Arecaceae.
GACAAUAUGCAAACAAGCCCAAUCGACAUAAAAUAAAAUAAUAUAAAAUAAAAUAACAUAAAAUCAACACAAAAUAAAAUCAAAUUGGCUGGAUUGGCUGAGCUGGUUGGACCCUGUAGCGACCAUAGACUCGAGUGAUGGCUGAUCUAGCACUGGUGUCCACACCAACUCUUUCUGGAUGGAAAGAAGUCGACCUCGACGAAAAUGGCUCGGUGUAGCUCCGGUAGUACUCCAACAAGUCCGGGUCAAUCUGCUGUAGCUCCUCGCGCGAGAUCCAAGUAUAGCUAGACUUUGGUCAUCCUCGUCAACAAACCAAAAAAUGCUUGAU